This 1234-nucleotide long non-coding RNA is filed under the name Olea europaea (common olive). Its description in RNAcentral is "long non-coding RNA (OEUR_LNC006121)". The record is from RNAcentral. Lineage: Eukaryota; Viridiplantae; Streptophyta; Magnoliopsida; Lamiales; Oleaceae.
AAAAAAAAAAAAAAAAAAGUUCUAUUUUUCAAAAUUUUUUCAAAUAAAACUAAAGUAAUGAAUUGGGCGUUUCAUCAAGUCUAUUUUUAAUUUACAUAUUUUUUUUUUCCUAUUACACAUUCACAUAGAUUUACAUAAAAUAUUCUAUAAUUAAUAGCAGAUUUGUAUAAUUUUUCUUAGAUGCGUGUGGAUUUUGUGCCUAUGGUGGCAAUUACACAAAAUUCUCACUUUUUGCAACAUUAUAAAGUAGCACGAAUCAUUUCAAAUUCACAUUCUGAAGUUUAUCUUGUCAACGAAAAUUAAUGAUCUUGUUUUAGUUAAUAAAGCAACUCAAAACUAAUAAAAUGUGAUUAUUAAAAAUACAAAUGAUAAUAAAUUAAUUAUCUUUGUUAUUAAUUAAUCGCAGUUGUGCACUUGGCAUAAGACAUCCAAUUGAGAUUUCAAUAAUUAAGAGAUCGAGAGAGAAGAGUCGACGAGAAAUCUUUAAUAUAAAAUCGUAAAUGAAAUGCUGUAAUAAAUAAAAAAGUCAUCAAGAUUAUCAUAACGAAAAAGGAAAUACAAUCUAAAUCAAAACAACACCGAGCAUUGAAUACUCAAAAAGUAAGAAAAGAACACAACAGGAGGAAAAAAGACGGAUGCAAUCACAUUAAAGAAACAUUAAUUAGCAAUGGAAAGACGGGUCAAUCUUGCAUUCGACAGGGAGUUUCGUGGCGAGGUCAGGGUUAAUUCCGAGAAAUUUGAUCCACCCGGAGCUCUUGAAUGUGCAAAGACAUGGCAAGUUUGCCUUGGGAUUGGAAAGAGCCGCACAGCAAGCGGUCGAAGGUGGCUGACCAGUUGUUCCGACCACGGCCGACUUGCAUGUCAUUAAAUCAGUUGGGCUUAUGCCACAAAUGGGUUCUUCACCCCUUGCCAUUGAGGGCUGGCUCCCAAUGGUUACAAGUAGAACCAUCGCAAAAAUUGCAAGCUUAGAGUAUGAUAAUUCCAUCUUGGACUAGUAGUGGUACAAUCUUUUUCUACUUGUUGGGAACUAUCUCCUUUUGUGCUUAUAAUUUUUCAUCUAUCAGUCUUUAUAUAGAAGUUGUAGCACAUGGUCUAGGUUAUAAGAGUUAAAUGGACUAUUAAUUUAUUAGCAUGUGAAUGAUGCUCUUCUCAAAGUGUCAUAAUUAUUUCAAUGGAUAUGAUCUCUACAAUUUUUUGUGCAAGCCAAUCUUGUCUUGGAUGUGCAAUCGUCUAC